RNAcentral lists this ribosomal RNA (453 nucleotides) under Triticum aestivum (bread wheat). RNAcentral's name for it is "partial small subunit ribosomal RNA". Lineage: Eukaryota; Viridiplantae; Streptophyta; Magnoliopsida; Poales; Poaceae. The record is from RNAcentral.
AUGGACGUGGACCAGCUGAUGGCGUCCUUCGGUGCGGUCACGAUGCACGGCUCCAACCGGCCACAGGCCUCCGUCCCGGCGGCAACGGUGGACGAGCUGACGGCGUACUUCAGGGCGGUGACCAUGCACGACUCGGGCGCCGCCGCGGCCGUCCCGGUGGCGCCGGUGGACCACGACGAGCCGGCGAUGGGUGAGGAGGCGUGCACGCUGCGGGUGCGGCUCCCGGACGGGCAGUUCAUCUGCAAGACCUUCGGCGCCGGUCGUCCGGCGACGGCGCUGUUCCGGUACUGCCACUCGGCGCUUACCGCCAGCUACGGCGCGGAAGUCGGGAUGCGGCCGUUUCGUCUCCUGAAGCUCGCCGGCGGCGCCACCGAUGAGAUACGUCCUGAAGGAUCGCCGCUGCGGGACCUCGGGCUGCACCAUUGCACCGUCCACCUGGUCUUCUGGGUUUAG